This 460-nucleotide ribosomal RNA is filed under the name uncultured bacterium. Its description in RNAcentral is "partial 16S ribosomal RNA". It matches the Rfam family "Bacterial small subunit ribosomal RNA", at positions 338 to 795 of the family's 1533-position model. The record is from RNAcentral.
CCUACGGGAGGCUGCAGUGAGGAAUAUUGGUCAAUGGACGAGAGUCUGAACCAGCCAAGUAGCGUGAAGGAUGACUGCCCUAUGGGUUGUAAACUUCUUUUGUAUGGGAAUAAAACGUUCCACGUGUGGGAUUUUGUAUGUACCAUAUGAAUAAGGAUCGGCUAACUCCGUGCCAGCAGCCGCGGUAAUACGGAGGAUCCGAGCGUUAUCCGGAUUUAUUGGGUUUAAAGGGAGCGUAGGUGGAUUGUUAAGUCAGUUGUGAAAGUUUGCGGCUCAACCGUAAAAUUGCAGUUGAAACUGGCAGUCUUGAGUACAGUAGAGGUGGGCGGAAUUCGUGGUGUAGCGGUGAAAUGCUUAGAUAUCACGAAGAACUCCGAUUGCGAAGGCAGUUCACUGGACUGCAACUGACACUGAGGCUCGAAAGUGUGGGUAUCAAACAGGAUUAGAUACCCGGGUAGUC